CCUAGAGUUGUAGGCUUUGCCUGCUAUCUCUUACCCAUGUCUUUUGAGUACCUUACGUUUCCUCGGUGGGUUCGCCCGCCGAUUGGACAACUUAAACCCUUUGCAGUUGAAAUCAGCGUCUGAAAAAACUUAAUAGUUG
Molecule: unclassified non-coding RNA, 139 nt
Filed under: soil metagenome
Description: partial internal transcribed spacer 1
Source: RNAcentral